This is an RNA transcript of Panicum hallii, 2671 nucleotides long. It is a transcript of the gene named cytochrome P450 703A2, with no coding region annotated. The record is from RefSeq and is a predicted model, not a curated record. NCBI's taxonomy places the organism in Eukaryota, Viridiplantae, Streptophyta, Magnoliopsida, Poales, Poaceae. The transcript has 3 exons.
AAGGCGGCAUUCGUCAGCGUUAGACGAGUGCUCGAGCCUCCCCUGGCAGGCUGGCAACGGCGACUGGCGGCAAUGGCCGCGCUGCGGCUACCAAGAGCUCCAGCCACGGCGGCCCUGGCCGGCACCGGCGUCCCGUACCGCCUCCCAACCCCGAAGCAGCCCCCGCCGGCGCGGGGCCCCAACACGGCCCACCUCAACGCGCUGCUAACGGCCUACGGCCGCCGCGGCCGCAUCUGGGACGCCCAGCAGCUGUUCGACCGGAUGCCCCGCCGCGACGUCAUCUCCUGGACGGCCCUCCUCACCGCCUACGCGGACGCCGGCGACCCUGGCUCCGCGCGCCUCGUCUUCGACGACAUGCCCCGCCGCAACGCCGUCUCCUGGAACGCGCUGCUCUCGCUCUACCUCCGCGCGGGCGCGGGAACGCCCGCCGCGGCGGCGGCGGCGGCCGCGCACGCGCUCUUCGCGAAGAUGCCGGCCAAGAACGCCGUAUCGUACGGAGCCAUGAUCACGGGGCUCGCCAGGGCGGGCAUGCUGCGGGAGGCCCAGGCUGUCUACGGGGAGAUGCCGCCGCGGUGGCGGGACCCUGUGGGGUCGAACGCGAUGAUGGCCGGGUACCUCAGAGCCGGGGAGCUUGACAUGGCGCUGAGGGUGUUCGACGGAAUGGCGUUGAGGAACGUCUUUUCCUGGAGCUCUAUGGUUGAUGGACUGUGUAAGCAUGGGACUGUAUCGGAGGCGAGGAGGCUGUUCGAGGCAAUGCCGGAGCGGAAUGUGGUGUCCUGGACCUCGAUGAUCCGGGGGUAUGUGAAACGUGGGAUGUGCAGAGAUGGUCUCUUGCUGUUCCUGGACAUGAGAAAUGAAGGUGUUCAGGUUAAUGAAACGGCACUGUCAGUGGUGCUGGAUGCUUGCUCUGAGGACAGUCUUGUCAGAGAAGGAAUUCAGAUUCAUGGGUUGAUUAUAGCAAUGGGUUUUGAAAUGGACGUUUUCUUGGGUGACUCGAUAAUCAUAAUGUAUUCCCGCUUCGGUUGGAUGGUCGAUGCUAGAAGGGUGUUUGCUUCCAUGGAGCAGAAGGACAUAGUAUCGUGGAACUCAUUGAUCACAGGGUAUGUUCAGAAUAACAUGAUUGAAGAUGCACAUGUGCUUUUCAAGCUGAUGCCUGAGAGGGAUGCUGUUUCUUGGACAUCAAUCAUAGUUGGGUUUGCUAAUAGGGGUUGGAUGAGAGAAGCCGUUGACCUCUUUGAGGAAAUGCCAGAAAAAGAUGAGGUGGCUUGGUCUGCAGUUAUUUCCAGUUUCAUUGCAAAUGGAGACUACGUAAAUGCUGUGCAGUGGUUUCGUCGUAUGUCAAAGGAAGGGUGCAAGCCUAAUACAGUGGCUUUUAGUUGUUUGCUGAGUGCUUUGGCUAACUUGGCAAUGGUGAAUCAGGGACUGCAAGCUCAUGCUUACGCAGUCAACAUGGGAUGGAUAUUUGACUCAGCUGUUUACACUUCUUUGGUGACAAUGUAUGCAAAAUGCGGUAGGUUGGCUGAGGCUCAUCGUGUUUUCUCAAGCAUUAGCAAUCCAAGCCUUAUUGCCACUAAUUCUAUGAUUACAGCAUUUGCGCAACAUGGCUUGGCUGAAGAUGCACUCGAACUGUUCAACAGAAUGCAAUAUGACGGCCAAAGGCCUAACCACGUGACAUUCUUGGGAAUACUGACUGCUUGUGCACGAGCUGGUUUAGUUCAACAAGGCUAUUACUACUUUGAGUCCAUGAGAUCAGUCUAUGGCAUUGAACCAAACCCUGACCACUAUACAUGUAUGGUUGAUCUUUUAGGCCGUGCAGGCUUCCUUGCUGAAGCACUGGAAAUGAUUAAUUCGAUGCCCCAGAAAGAUUAUGCUGAUGCAUGGGCAGCUUUGCUUAGCUCUAGUAGCCUCCAUUGUAAUCUUUCUUUUGCAAAAUUAGCAGCACAGAGGCUACUUGAGAUGGAUCCUUACAAUGCAACAGCUUACACAGUCCUGUCAAACAUGUUCUCCUCAGCAGGGAUGAAGGAUGAUGAAGAGAUGCUAAAAGUUGCACAGUUAUCCAACACGGCUACUAAAAGUCCUGGGUAUAGCCUCAUCAUACAGGAAAAGACUAACACAGAAUGAGCACCACCAGGUGCAAAUAACUGGCAUAUCGUAAGACAGGAAUAUUGGAUUCACAAAGAAAACAAGUCUGAUGCCAAGAGUAGAUGUCAAUUUGUUGAUAUCUUUUGAAUGCCACUGCAGAGUCAGUAUUGAUAACUCAGAUGGCAUUGCACGUGCAUAUUUUUCCUUAUUAAUGCCUAGUAAGUAUAUGUUUGUAUCUGACAAGAUAAUUAGUGAUAUGAAGAUCAAGGAACCUGGUUAUCUGGAUAGACUAUUUGACACUGGAGAGUUGAUGAUGCUUCUGCAAAUAAUUCAUCUUCUAUCAUGGCAUGUUGAAUAAGAGCAAAAUCCUUUGGAUGCUGCGCGCUUUCAACUUUCAGGAAUAUUUGUGCAAGAUAUAAUAUUCUCAUCCAUUGUUAGAGAAGAGAGUCAUUUAGUGAGUGUAUUGGAGAAGGAUGAACAGCAUGAGGCUAAGGCUUCCACCUGGACCUCCAACAUGGCCAAUCUUUGGUAACCUUCUCCAGUUGAGCCCUCUUCCACACAAAGACUUCGCUCGAUUCUGCACCAAAUA